This 614-nucleotide ribosomal RNA is filed under the name Porogramme epimiltina. RNAcentral describes it as "eukaryotic LSU rRNA". The stretch from base 248 to 401 matches the Rfam family "5.8S ribosomal RNA". The record is from RNAcentral. Lineage: Eukaryota; Fungi; Basidiomycota; Agaricomycetes; Polyporales; Polyporaceae.
UUGGUCAAUUAGAGGAAGUAAAAGUCGUAACAAGGUUUCCGUAGGUGAACCUGCGGAAGGAUCAUUAACGAGUUGAACGGGGUUGUAGCUGGCCUUCACAGGCAUGUGCACACCUCACUCAUCCACUCUACACCUGUGCACUUACUGUGGGUUUCGAGAGGCCGCGCUUGCGUGGUUGAUCGGGCUCACGUCUAUUACAAACUCUUCAGUAUCAGAAUGUGUAUCGCGAUGUAACGCAUCUAUAUACAACUUUCAGCAACGGAUCUCUUGGCUCUCGCAUCGAUGAAGAACGCAGCGAAAUGCGAUAAGUAAUGUGAAUUGCAGAAUUCAGUGAAUCAUCGAAUCUUUGAACGCACCUUGCGCUCCUUGGUAUUCCGAGGAGCAUGCCUGUUUGAGUGUCGUGUAAUUCUCAACCUAUAAAUCCUUGUGGUUUUUAGGCUUGGACUUGGAGGCUUUUGCUGGCUUUACCGUCGGCUCCUCUUAAACGCAUUAGCUUGAUUCCUUGCGGAUCGGCUCUCAGUGUGAUAAUUAUCUGCGCUGUGACCGUGAAGCGUUUGGCGAGCUUCUAACCGUCUCUUUGAGACAAACACUUUGACAUCUGACCUCAAAUCAGG